AGCAGUCGGACCUUGCUGUCUCCCCGACGUGUGUUGUGUGUGUGAGGGAAAUGGGACUGACGUUAUGUGUUGAUCCUUCUGCCAGAUGUCCGAAAUAAACGACAAGUUUGCCAA
Molecule: long non-coding RNA, 114 nt
Organism: Larimichthys crocea (large yellow croaker)
Lineage: Eukaryota; Metazoa; Chordata; Actinopteri; Sciaenidae
Exons: 3
Source: RefSeq, a predicted model, not a curated record